This 282-nucleotide ribosomal RNA is filed under the name uncultured Bacteroides sp. RNAcentral describes it as "partial 16S ribosomal RNA". It matches the Rfam family "Bacterial small subunit ribosomal RNA", at positions 65 to 339 of the family's 1533-position model. The record is from RNAcentral. Lineage: Bacteria; Pseudomonadati; Bacteroidota; Bacteroidia; Bacteroidales; Bacteroidaceae.
AGGGGCAGCAUGGUCUUAGCUUGCUAAGGCCGAUGGCGACCGGCGCACGGGUGAGUAACGCGUAUCCAACCUGCCUUACACUCUUGGACAGCCUUCUGAAAGGGAGAUUAAUACAAGAUGUUAUCAUGAGUAAGCAUUUUCGCAUGAUUAAAGGUAUUCCGGUAAACGAUGGGGAUGCGUUCCAUUAGGUUGUUGGCGGGGUAACGGCCCACCAAGCCUUCGAUGGAUAGGGGUUCUGAGAGGAAGGUCCCCACAUUGGAACUGAGACACGGUCCAAACUCC